This 802-nucleotide ribosomal RNA is filed under the name Mycolicibacterium iranicum. RNAcentral describes it as "bacterial SSU rRNA". It matches the Rfam family "Bacterial small subunit ribosomal RNA", at positions 83 to 897 of the family's 1533-position model. Lineage: Bacteria; Bacillati; Actinomycetota; Actinomycetes; Mycobacteriales; Mycobacteriaceae. The record is from RNAcentral.
CGGGGUGCUCGAGUGGCGAACGGGUGAGUAACACGUGGGUGAUCUGCCCUGCACUUUGGGAUAAGCCUGGGAAACUGGGUCUAAUACCGGAUAGGACCACGCGCUUCAUGGUGUGUGGUGGAAAGCUUUUGCGGUGUGGGAUGGGCCCGCGGCCUAUCAGCUUGUUGGUGGGGUAAUGGCCUACCAAGGCGACGACGGGUAGCCGGCCUGAGAGGGUGACCGGCCACACUGGGACUGAGAUACGGCCCAGACUCCUACGGGAGGCAGCAGUGGGGAAUAUUGCACAAUGGGCGCAAGCCUGAUGCAGCGACGCCGCGUGAGGGAUGACGGCCUUCGGGUUGUAAACCUCUUUCGCCAGGGACGAAGCGCAAGUGACGGUACCUGGAGAAGAAGGACCGGCCAACUACGUGCCAGCAGCCGCGGUAAUACGUAGGGUCCGAGCGUUGUCCGGAAUUACUGGGCGUAAAGAGCUCGUAGGUGGUUUGUCGCGUUGUUCGUGAAAACUCACAGCUUAACUGUGGGCGUGCGGGCGAUACGGGCAGACUGGAGUACUGCAGGGGAGACUGGAAUUCCUGGUGUAGCGGUGGAAUGCGCAGAUAUCAGGAGGAACACCGGUGGCGAAGGCGGGUCUCUGGGCAGUAACUGACGCUGAGGAGCGAAAGCGUGGGGAGCGAACAGGAUUAGAUACCCUGGUAGUCCACGCCGUAAACGGUGGGUACUAGGUGUGGGUUUCCUUCCUUGGGAUCCGUGCCGUAGCUAACGCAUUAAGUACCCCGCCUGGGGAGUACGGCCGCAAGGCUAA